GUAGCGGCGAGCGAACGGGGAGGAGCCCAGAGCCUGAAUCAGCAUGUGUGUUAGUGGAAGCGUCUGGAAAGGCGCGCGAUACAGGGUGACAGCCCCGUACACAAAAGCGCAUGUGCUGUGAGCUCGAUGAGUAGGGCGGGACACGUGGUAUCCUGUCUGAAUAUGGGGGGACCAUCCUCCAAGGCUAAAUACUCCUGACUGACCGAUAGUGAACCAGUACCGUGAGGGAAAGGCGAAAAGAACCCCGGCGAGGGGAGUGAAAAAGAACCUGAAACCGUGUACGUACAAGCAGUGGGAGCCCCACCACCAAAGCAUUCUCUGGUGUUGAAGGCCCUGCAAAGCAGCAUCGCGGUGGCGGAGCGUCGUUUGCGACGCCCAACACACAAAACAAGCGGUGAGUGCUUUGGGGUGGGGUGACUGCGUACCUUUUGUAUAAUGGGUCAGCGACUUAUAUUCUGUAGCAAGGUUAACCGAAUAGGGGAGCCGGAGGGAAACCGAGUCUUAAUUGGGCGUUAAGUUGCAGGGUAUAGACCCGAAACCCGGUGAUCUAGCCAUGGGCAGGUUGAAGGUUGGGUAACACUAACUGGAGGACCGAACCGACUAAUGUUGAAAAAUUAGCGGAUGACCUGUGGCUGGGGGUGAAAGGCCAAUCAAACCGGGAGAUAGCUGGUUCUCCCCGAAAGCUAUUUAGGUAGCGCCUCGUGAAUUCAUCUCCGGGGGUAGAGCACUGUUUCGGCUAGGGGGCCAUCCCGGCUUACCAACCCGAUGCAAACUGCGAAUACCGGAGAAUGUUAUCACGGGAGACACAGACAGCCAGGAUGUUGGCUUAGAAGCAGCCAUCAUUUAAAGAAAGCGUAAUAGCUCACUGGUCGAGUCGGCCUGCGCGGAAGAUGUAACGGGGCUAAACCAUGCACCGAAGCUGCGGCAGCGAGAGCGAAGCGACGUCAAAGCGUAUACAAAGUCGAGUCGGUUUAAGGAUACGUUCGUUGGGUAGGGGAGCGUUCUGUAAGCCUGYGAAGGUGKSYYGUGAGGSWUGCUGGAGGUAUCAGAAGUGCGAAUGCUGACAUAAGUAACGAUAAAGCGGGUGAAAAGCCCGCUCGCCGGAAGACCAAGGGUUCCUGUCCAACGUUAAUCGGGGCAGGGUGAGUCGACCCCUAAGGCGAGGCCGAAAGGCGUAGUCGAUGGGAAACGGGUUAAUAUUCCCGUACUUGGUGUUACUGCGAAGGGGGGACGGAGAAGGCUAUGUUGGCCGGGCGACGGUUGUCCCGGUUUAAGCGUGUAGGCUGGUUUUCCAGGCAAAUCCGGAAAAUCAAGGCUGAGGCGUGAUGACGAGGCACUACGGUGCUGAAGCAACAAAUGCCCUGCUUCCAGGAAAAGCCUCUAAGCAUCAGGUAACAUCAAAUCGUACCCCAAACCGACACAGGUGGUCAGGUAGAGAAUACCAAGGCGCUUGAGAGAACUCGGGUGAAGGAACUAGGCAAAAUGGUGCCGUAACUUCGGGAGAAGGCACGCUGACACGUAGGUGAAGUGAUUUACUCAUGGAGCUGAAGUCAGUCGAAGAUACCAGCUGGCUGCAACUGUUUAUUAAAAACACAGCACUGUGCAAACACGAAAGUGGACGUAUACGGUGUGACGCCUGCCCGGUGCCGGAAGGUUAAUUGAUGGGGUCAGCGCAAGCGAAGCUCCUGAUCGAAGCCCCGGUAAACGGCGGCCGUAACUAUAACGGUCCUAAGGUAGCGAAAUUCCUUGUCGGGUAAGUUCCGACCUGCACGAAUGGCGUAAUGAUGGCCAGGCUGUCUCCACCCGAGACUCAGUGA
This 1817-nucleotide ribosomal RNA is filed under the name Salmonella enterica subsp. enterica serovar Infantis. RNAcentral describes it as "bacterial LSU rRNA". Lineage: Bacteria; Pseudomonadati; Pseudomonadota; Gammaproteobacteria; Enterobacterales; Enterobacteriaceae. The record is from RNAcentral.